Molecule: ribosomal RNA, 388 nt
Filed under: Starmerella bombicola
Lineage: Eukaryota; Fungi; Ascomycota; Dipodascomycetes; Dipodascales; Trichomonascaceae
Description: partial large subunit ribosomal RNA
Rfam family: Eukaryotic large subunit ribosomal RNA
Source: RNAcentral
UCAGAUUUGAAAGCCUCUCGGGGCAUUGUAUUCUGAAGCCUUGAUUCUGAGAACCGGUACCUAAGUCUUCUGGAAAGGAGCGCCAAGGAGGGUGAUAGCCCCGUACGGUACUGACCUCAUUGUAGAAUCUUGGCGUGGAGUCGAGUUGUUUGGGAAUGCAGCUCAAAUGGGUGGUAUGCUCCAUCUAAAGCUAAAUAUCUGCGAGAGACCGAUAGCGAACAAGUACUGUGAAGGAAAGAUGAAAAGAACUUUGAAAAGAGAGUGAAAAAGUACGUGAAAUUGUUGAAAUGGAAGGGUAGGCCGCUAACCACGUAGAGCCGUGUCUGAGGGGAGGAUAAAAGCUGUAGAAUGUGGCUCUUCGGAGUGUUAUAGCUACAGUGCAUACUCC